CUGUGGCAAUUUCAUAUCGGUUUUUCGUUUUCAACCUCGGUCUGAUGCUUCCGUCGCACUUUUUGGUUUCACACCUCAGAUCCUUGUUUUGGUGCAUCAGUCCUGCAUCAUGUUGUAGGAUGGCGCUUAUUCCGUUGUGUUGGGCUGUUGAUGCUUAGCAGCUCUUCCUGGAACCAUUCUUUUCUGGAUCUUUGUUUCGUGGCUGCAAUAUCCGUUCAGCGUGCGGCACUCUUCAGGUUUUUGGUGUAGGCUUCCUGCCAGAUUGUGGUCCAGACCCUUGGCGACAUUAACCUUAGGGUACCGACAUCGGCCGCCAUCCUCUGGAUGAAUUAUUGCAAGCAGCAAUUACCUGGUCAUGUUAACUGCGC
Daphnia carinata is the source of this 368-nucleotide long non-coding RNA. RefSeq lists it as uncharacterized. The record is from RefSeq and is a predicted model, not a curated record. Lineage: Eukaryota; Metazoa; Arthropoda; Branchiopoda; Diplostraca; Daphniidae. The transcript has 4 exons.